RNAcentral lists this ribosomal RNA (826 nucleotides) under uncultured bacterium. Its description in RNAcentral is "bacterial SSU rRNA". It matches the Rfam family "Bacterial small subunit ribosomal RNA", at positions 59 to 887 of the family's 1533-position model. The record is from RNAcentral.
AACGAAGCUUGACGGAUGAUUUCUUCGGAAUGAAACCUGAUAUGACUUAGUGGCGGACGGGUGAGUAACACGUGAGCAACCUGCCUUUCAGAGGGGGAUAACGGCUGGAAACGGUCGCUAAUACCGCAUGACGUGUUCGGAUGGCAUCAUCUGAACAUCAAAGAUUUAUCGCUGAAAGAUGGGCUCGCGUCUGAUUAGAUAGUUGGUGGGGUAACGGCCUACCAAGUCGACGAUCAGUAGCCGGACUGAGAGGUUGAACGGCCACAUUGGGACUGAGAUACGGCCCAGACUCCUACGGGAGGCAGCAGUGGGGAAUAUUGCACAAUGGGGGAAACCCUGAUGCAGCAACGCCGCGUGAAGGAUGACGGUUUUCGGAUUGUAAACUUCUUUUCUUAGUGACGAAGACAGUGACGGUAGCUAAGGAAUAAGCAUCGGCUAACUACGUGCCAGCAGCCGCGGUAAUACGUAGGAUGCAAGCGUUAUCCGGAUUUACUGGGUGUAAAGGGAGCGCAGGCGGGACUGCAAGUUGGAUGUGAAAUACCGUGGCUUAACCACGGAACUGCAUCCAAAACUGUAGUUCUUGAGUGAAGUAGAGGCAAGCGGAAUUCCGAGUGUAGCGGUGAAAUGCGUAGAUAUUCGGAGGAACACCAGUGGCGAAGGCGGCUUGCUGGGCUUUAACUGACGCUGAGGCUCGAAAGUGUGGGGAGCAAACAGGAUUAGAUACCCUGGUAGUCCACACUGUAAACGAUGAUAGCUAGGUGUGGGGGGUCUGACCCCUUCCGUGCCGGAGUUAACGCAAUAAGCUAUCCACCUGGGGAGUACGACC